UUGUAGUGUAUUGGACUACCAUGGCAGUCACGGGUAACGGAGAAUUAGGGUUCGAUUCCGGAGAGGGAGCCUGAGAAACGGCUACCACAUCUAAGGAAGGCAGCAGGCGCGUAAAUUACCCAAUCCCGAUUCGGGGAGGUAGUGACAAGAAAUAGCAACUCGUGCGGGUUUCCGUUACGGGAUUGCAAUGAGAUAAGUCCAAAUCCGUAAACGAUUAACAAUUGGAGGGCAAGUCUGGUGCCAGCAGCCGCGGUAAUUCCAGCUCCAAUAGCGUAUACUUAAGUUGUUGCAGUUAAAAAGCUCGUAGUUGAAAUUCGAGUCAGUUACUAGUUGGCUUUUCGUCAGUUAGUUAAUUGAUUCUCCGUCUACAAUCCCUUUUGCGCUUUAGGGUUGCGGCUGGGCGAGUAGACAAUUUACCUUGAAAAGAUUAGAGUGUUCCAGGCAGGUCUUCGCCGGAAUACAUUAGCAUGGAAUAAUGGAAUAGGACUUGGGUCUUUUGUUGGUUUUAGGACUUGAGUAAUGAUUAAUAGGGACAGAUGGGGGCAUUAGUAUUUAAUUGUUAGAGGUGAAAUUCUUGGAUUCAUUAAAGACUAACUUAUGCGAAAGCAUUUGCCAAGGAUGUUUUCAUUAAUCAAGAACGAAAGUUAGGGGAUCAAAGACAAUCAGA
This 667-nucleotide ribosomal RNA is filed under the name uncultured ciliate. RNAcentral's name for it is "SSU rRNA". It matches the Rfam family "Eukaryotic small subunit ribosomal RNA", at positions 326 to 1012 of the family's 1831-position model. The record is from RNAcentral. Lineage: Eukaryota; Ciliophora.